Molecule: non-coding RNA, 915 nt
Organism: Odocoileus virginianus texanus
Lineage: Eukaryota; Metazoa; Chordata; Mammalia; Artiodactyla; Cervidae
Source: RefSeq, a predicted model, not a curated record
AAGAAUGAAAUAAACAACUUAAUAUGAUAGAAAAUAACUCAAGAGUUGGUCAGAAUUAUGUCCUCUAGGGCAGUGACAUUUUACCUAAGACUCCAAUGUUGAAAAACAGCUAGUUCAUGAAAGGGCCUGGGGAAGUGUAGAAGGUCAUGAAGUUAGAAUGGAUUUGGCUAGAUCUAGAAAGAGAAACAAGAUUACUGAGUAAUAGUGAACAAGAGAGGAAUAACAGAAUGUGAAACAUAACAAGAUUCAAAUAAUGUAAGAAUUUCUGGACAAAGGUGAAAGUUUGUGUUUCAUUCUGAUUUCAAAGCAAAGUCAUAGUAAGGUUUUAAUCAGGAGAAUGGCAUGAUCCAAUUUGUUGAUUGAAGAGACUCUUCUUGCUGUUCUGUAGUUAGCUGUCCAUGUGGCAGAUGAGAAUUACAAGAUGGAUGGAGAAGAAUGGGGUUGGCCAGGGUGGUGUCUUCAAUGAUGGAGAGCAGUAGAGAUUCAGGAUGUAUUGUACAGGUAAGGCCAGAGGGCUUUGGAUAGAUGACAUUUAGCCAUGACAUGCAUCCAGUGCUUAUCACCAGAACUAUUCAUUUUUUAAAAAAAUAUAAUGCAUAUAUACCAGCUGAUAUAUAAUCACUAUUUCUAGCUUCCUAAGUGCUUCCCCUCAAUCACAUUGAACUCUCUCCUCCAGAAUACUCCAGAUGUCUCUACUUCAUCAAGGAAGCAAAUGUCUUCAUCAUCAGAAAAACCAGAGUCCUUUCUCCAAGAAGAGGAAGACUCACCAGGGAAUCCAGCACAGGAAGGAAAGAUCCUAAGAGGACUCAGCCAUCUACAAGCCACACACAAAAGCCUCAGGAGAAACCAUGCUGACACUGAAUGGAUGCCCAGCCUCUAGACCUAUGGGAAAAUAAAUUUCUGUUGCUUAAAUCA